Molecule: microRNA, 21 nt
Filed under: Homo sapiens (human)
Lineage: Eukaryota; Metazoa; Chordata; Mammalia; Primates; Hominidae
Description: Hsa-Mir-556_3p (mature (co-guide))
Source: RNAcentral
AUAUUACCAUUAGCUCAUCUU